This 806-nucleotide long non-coding RNA is filed under the name Callithrix jacchus (white-tufted-ear marmoset). Its description in RNAcentral is "lncRNA (ENSCJAG00000086400.1)". The record is from RNAcentral. Lineage: Eukaryota; Metazoa; Chordata; Mammalia; Primates; Cebidae.
UUGCUGAUAGUGAUAUGAUAUGCAAAAGCAUUUGCCUCCGUGUUAAAAUAUAAACAUGGGAGAUAUUGUUUCCUCUAUUCACAGUUGGAACUUUGUGCUCUACAGUCCAUGAUGGUUGUGCAAGAAAAAGAACUGCAGUUGCGGGAAGGAGAGUGCAGGACCUGCAAAUACAACUGAUAAUCCUGAAGACAUACCACCUGUGGAACGCCUGACCCAGGAAACAUUACUUCUUUGGGAAAAAAUUGCUUCAGUAGAAUCCCAGGGUCAAGAAAUUUCAGGAAACCAAAGACAACAAUUGCUGCUGAUGCUAGAAAAAGAUUAGUAGAUGAACAGAGUCAGCUCAGUGAGGACUUAGACGCAAAGAGACAGCUCUCUAGCAGUCUGGUGAAGUUCCAUGCUUAUCCAGAGAGUAACAGGAUUUCACCAUGUUGGUCAGACUGGUCUCGAACUGCCGACCUCAUGAACCACCCACAUAGGCCUCCCAAAGUGCUGGGAUUACAGCCUGCCAACUUUCAAACUAGAACUUCCACCAUCAUCCCUCCUGGUCCUCAGGCCUUCAGUCUCCAGCAGCAGCUAUACCGUCAGCUCUCCUGGGUCUCCAGCUUGCUGCCUGCAGAUCUUGGGGCUUCUCAGCCUCCCAUCAUCACAUAAGUCAAUUCCUUCUAAUAAAACUUCUUCUGGCAUCUAUAAAUCUCCUGUUGGUUCUUUUUCUCUGGAGAAGCCUAAUACAGUGGGGCCAUGGAUCAACCCAGAGAGAAAGUAGGAGUGAAGCAGGGAGCCCCAUCCUAGCAGCUGGAUCCUAGGGC